UACGUAGGGCGCAAGCGUUGUCCGGAAUUAUUGGGCGUAAAGAGCUCGUAGGCGGUUUGUCGCGUCUGCCGUGAAAGUCCGGGGCUCAACUCCGGGUCUGCAGUCGAUACGGGCGGACUCGAGUUCGGCAGGGGAGACUGGAAUUCCUGGUGUAGCGGUGAAAUGCGCAGAUAUCAGGAGGAACACCGGUGGCGAAGGCGGGUCUCUGGGCCGAUACUGACGCUGAGGAGCGAAAGCGUGGGGAGCGAACAGG
This 253-nucleotide ribosomal RNA is filed under the name uncultured bacterium. RNAcentral's name for it is "partial 16S ribosomal RNA". It matches the Rfam family "Bacterial small subunit ribosomal RNA", at positions 524 to 776 of the family's 1533-position model. The record is from RNAcentral.